GUGAACUCCACACCAUACGAACUUUUCCUCACACCCGUUGGAUCAGAAAUCGACGGUCGGAUUUAAUUUUUUGCGUUUUUAAUUAGGUGGAGUAAUGUUAUAGGGUUUUAAAUUAUUUAUAGGGUACAGUAGUUUAUAGGUUACAAAGUUUUUUUAGGUUCCUAGGAAUAGGGCUUUGGUUUCUCCGUCGAUUUUUGGUAAAUAGGGUUUUCGUUUGCGUUUCCAUUCGUUGUUCGUCCUUCUUCAGUUGUUCGUCUUUCUUCUGCUGUUGUUCGUCUUUCCUUCAUUCUGCUGCUGUUCUUCUUCUGUUCUCGAUUAAGUAAGUACGAUUUUCCUUCAGAUUAUUGGGUUUUCGGACAUUCGAAAACCAUCUUUCGCCGGCUUCUCUGUGUUUCCGUCGGUUUUCGUUCAUUCGACAUAGUUGUCGUUAAGAUUUGUUUCUCUGUGUUUCCGAUUUUGUGGUAAAUAAGAUUUUUUUACAAUUUAGUUGUGUUUCCGAUUUAUUUAUGUUUCCGUUUUGUUUCUCUGUCGUUCUUCGUUUCACCCCUCCCGUUUCCACAUCCUCCAUCUUGUUUUCUCGUUGAAACACAGCGAUUCUCUCAAGGAACUGGGGUCAAACAAACAUGGGAAAAUCUCAGAUCUGGUUUUCCGUCGAAUCUAGUUAAGUUCUUCUAUCCUUCUUGCCCUGCUCGGUUCUUGCCGAUAAUGAGGUUCUCAUCCUCAUUGAAGAAAAUUUUGAGAAGGAAGUCGGUAAAAACCGGGGCGCUCUCGUCUGAUAAUUUUAAGACGUUCUAGUUUUUAGUACCUUGUGUUGGUCCGUGUCUUUACUGUUAUUAUCUUCUGCUGUGGUCGUCGUCGAUGAAUUGUUUUUAUGUUUUUACUCACCGUUACUAAUCAAUCCUCUGUGUUUCACUAUUCUAUCACGUUUUCUAUUAGGUCUCAUUGAUAUUAAUCUACUGGAUUUGGUUGCAUUCCUUAUUCAUACGGUAUUAUUGUUUUCUAAUUUUUUAAACAGGUUAUCAAUCUACUUGUAAUUUUGGAAACAUUAAUGUGCAGACUGUUUCUUAAAUUAGGAAAAUCUGUUCUAGAUUCCGAGGUAUAUGUGAGCUUUGUUUACUACUUAUUAUAACUUUAUAUGUUGUUUUUUCUUUUGCCUAAUUUUUAGUGAUUCAUCUUUUUGUUUUGUUUUUGGUACUAAACAGUUCCUUACGGCAACUUUUCCCUUAUUAUGAAACCAUUAUCAUCAUGGGAAAUAUAAAAGUAUUUUAUUUUUUGCUUUUUAUUGCUGUAGAAUUUUUUAACAUUCAUUGUUUUGGGAAUAAUUUGACAUCAACAAUUGUAAUUCAUUAAUUUUUUAAUCACGUUCAUAUAGUCUUUUUUUUUGAAUUAACAUAUAUAUAGUCUUUUCUAUUUUUAAUUGUCCUUAUGUUUUUAUUGUGUUUUUUUGUGUUUCUUUUGCUCUCUUCAGGGGGAGUACUGGUGAGACAUGUCUGAUUACGUCAGUCACUCCCAACAACGUCAUUCAACAAGGACUAGGGUUCCGUCGUUUUAUGCCGAACCCUCGGAGAGCUCCACGGUUGCGAAACAAGUGUCUACGUCAAGUACUCAAAUCAACACUAGGAAUCGACGAUUGAGACUGUCAAGGGUAUACAUGCAAAUAACUCCAUAAAAUACAAAUAAAUAAAUCAUAGAUACAUAAAGGGUAUACAUGCAAAUAACUCCAUAAAACUAUCUAUAUAUAUGUCAGCUGUAACUCAGU
Molecule: long non-coding RNA, 1759 nt
Filed under: Zostera marina
Lineage: Eukaryota; Viridiplantae; Streptophyta; Magnoliopsida; Alismatales; Zosteraceae
Description: long non-coding RNA (ZMAR_LNC002799)
Source: RNAcentral